Molecule: unclassified non-coding RNA, 381 nt
Filed under: soil metagenome
Description: partial contains 5.8S ribosomal RNA, internal transcribed spacer 2, and large subunit ribosomal RNA
Rfam family: 5.8S ribosomal RNA (bases 1-119)
Source: RNAcentral
GAUGAAAACGCAGCGAAAUGCGAUAAGUAAUGUGAAUUGCAGAAUUCAGUGAAUCAUCGAAUCUUUGAACGCACCUUGCACCCUUUGGCAUUCCGAAGGGUAUGCUCGUUUGAGUGUCAUUGUACUCUCACACUUCUGAUCCUUUGGAUUGGGAGCGGUGGACUUGGGUGUUGCUGCUUUACUGUGGCUCACCUCAAAUGCAUUCGUGCAACUCUUGGUUGGACAUAGUACGGCGUGAUAAGUAUCUUCGCCGGCACCUCGCAAGAGGGUGGCUGAUCAGGAGCUCUGUGCUUUCCAACUGUCUUCAGACAACAACUGACAACUUGACCUCAAAUCGAGUAGGACCACCCGCUGAACUUAAGCAUAUCAAUAAGCGGAGGA